This 497-nucleotide ribosomal RNA is filed under the name uncultured bacterium. RNAcentral describes it as "partial 16S ribosomal RNA". It matches the Rfam family "Bacterial small subunit ribosomal RNA", at positions 28 to 507 of the family's 1533-position model. The record is from RNAcentral.
GAUGAACGCUGGCGGCGUGCCUAAUACAUGCAAGUCGAGCGAACGGGCGAGAAGCUUGCUUCUCUGAUGUUAGCGGCGGACGGGUGAGUAACACGUGGAUAACCUACCUAUAAGACUGGGAUAACUUCGGGAAACCGUAGCUAAUACCGGAUAAUAUUUUGAACCGCAUGGUUCAAAAGUGAAAGACGGUCUUGCUGUCCCUUAUAGAUGGAUCCGCGCUGCAUUAGCUGGUUGGUAAGGUAACGGCUUACCAAGGCAACGAUGCAUAGCCGACCUGAGAGGGUGAUCGGCCACACUGGAACUGGGACACGGUCCAGACUCCUACGGGAGGCAGCAGUAGGGAAUCUUCGGCAAUGGGCGAAAGCCUGACGGAGCAACGCCGCGUGAGUGAUGAAGGUCUUCGGAUCGUAAAACUCGGUUAUUAGGGAAGAACAUAGGUGUAAGUAACUGUGCACAUCUUGACGGUACCUAAUCAGAAAGCCACGGCUAACUACGUG